RNAcentral lists this ribosomal RNA (497 nucleotides) under uncultured bacterium. Its description in RNAcentral is "partial 16S ribosomal RNA". It matches the Rfam family "Bacterial small subunit ribosomal RNA", at positions 28 to 507 of the family's 1533-position model. The record is from RNAcentral.
GAUGAACGCUGGCGGCGUGCCUAAUACAUGCAAGUCGAGCGAACAGACGAGGAGCUUGCUCCUCUGACGUUAGCGGCGGACGGGUGAGUAACACGUGGAUAACCUACCUAUAAGACUGGGAUAACUUCGGGAAACCGGAGCUAAUACCGGAUAAUAUAUUGAACGGCAUGGUUCAAUAGUGAAAGACGGUUUUGCUGUCACUUAUAGAUGGAUCCGCGCCGCAUUAGCUAGUUGGUAAGGUAACGGCUUACCAAGGCAACGAUGCGUAGCCGACCUGAGAGGGUGAUCGGCCACACUGGAACUGAGACACGGUCCAGACUCCUACGGGAGGCAGCAGUAGGGAAUCUUCCGCAAUGGGCGAAAGCUUGACGGAGCAACGCCGCGUGAGUGAUGAAGGCCUUCGGAUCGUAAAGCUCUGUUAUUAGGGAAGAACAAAUGUGUAAGUAACUAUGCACGUCUUGACGGUACCUAAUCAGAAAGCCACGGCUAACUACGUG